This is a long non-coding RNA of Drosophila gunungcola (fruit fly), 1685 nucleotides long. RefSeq lists it as uncharacterized. NCBI's taxonomy places the organism in Eukaryota, Metazoa, Arthropoda, Insecta, Diptera, Drosophilidae. The record is from RefSeq and is a predicted model, not a curated record. The transcript has 2 exons.
GAUAACAACUAGUGAAACAAAUAUAAAUACAUAUUUACCUUCAGCAUGCUCUUAAUAUUUAAAUUGAACAUUUUAAAAUUAAAAAAAAACAAGAAAGGAAGCAAACUUCGGCAAGCCGAAGUUCAUAUACCCUUGCAGCUAUAUCAAAAACUAAAUACUCUUGAAAACGUUAAAAUUAUGAUUUACUUGCGUGUAUGUUCAAAAACAUUGAAGCUAUGAUGAUUUGCAGCUUAAUUAUUCGAUAGUUCCUAUGACAGCUAUAGUCGUCCGAUUUUGAUGAAAUUUAAACCGUUAUUCUGAAUUAUUUAACUAUUACUAUAUCUCGAAGAACUAAAAAAAAAUUAAAAAACACCAAAGUUAUAAUUUUUUUUUAUUUAUUUUUCCGAUUGUUCCUAUGGGAGACAUAUGCUAUAGUCGUCCGAUCCGGCUCGUUCCGACUUAUAUACUACCUGCAAUAGAAAGAAAACUUUUGGGAAAGUUUCAUGCAGAUAGCUUUAAAACUGAGAGACUAGUUUGCGUAGAAACGGAGGGAUCAGUGAUGCUGAUCAAGAAUAUUUAACUUUAUAGGGUUGGAGAUGUCUUCUUCACUGCGUUGCAAACUUCUGACUGAAAUUAUAAUAGCCUCUGCAAGGGUAUAAAAAACAAGAAAAAACUUUAUAGUUUGACUUCAGACUUUUGGUUCCAUAUUAGAAUAUUUAAUUGAAAAUGGGGCUUACGUUUAACCACAGUGUUUUAAACAUAUAAUAAAUGGCAUGCUAAUAAAAGCCAAGAAGAUUUUGGUGAGGUUCAUAUAAGCCUACGAACAAACCUUCCUUACUCUAGAUCUCAAAGUUUAAUUAUAAAGACUAACGAACGGACUUCUCCUAAUCGAUUUGGCUAAUAAUGCGCAUGGAAACCAUUUCUUCAAGGUUGAUAUCUAGGCGGAUAGCGGUAAAAACUACUCAGUAGGCCUUAUAUGCGAGCGUAUGAAUUCGAGCAGCUUAAUUUACUUUAAUUUACUAAUUUUAUAACGGUACAGUAGGCUUUUAGAUAUAAUCAUAAAAGAACUGGAAUUUAAACAUUAUUAUCGACAGGACGGGAUUAACUAUGGAACAAAACAGCUUAAAGGAAAGGCAGUAUCUGUAUACAAGUCACUCCCAGCUAAUAAUUAAACACUUAUUUUUAUAUUAUUAAACUGUAACAUAUGUUUUAUCACAUAAUUAGAAAACACUUCACUCGAUUCGAAAUAUAAGUACUAACACGUAGCUUUCUCAAUCCAACUUAGUAAUUAUAUUCCUAUUGUACCAGUAAUCCCAAUAAAUACAACUGUUUCCGCAGCGCAUUGUGUUAGAAAAUAACAGACAAACACACAUCAAAACUAUACGACACUAAGAAAAUUUGUCGUUUAAAACUGUUGUCAAAUUUCUUAUAUUUAUAGAACAGUACACAAAGACUAACCAUUAAUCAUUAAAGACAUGGGGUAACCACCCAUUUUUUUAACCCUUUAAGGAGCUACCUAAUUUGAAGUUAAUUUAUAGAAGUUAUUUGGAAGAGACUGCACCUGCUUUGUCGAAAAUUGUUUUGUUAAGAUCGACAGAGGUAUUUAAAUAAUUGAUUUACAAUGCUUAAAGUGAUUUAUAAAAAUUAAAUCGUAAUAAAAAUAAAUAUUUGAAAAUUAAAUGAACAGCACUUUAACGAUUUAAAAA